Molecule: ribosomal RNA, 254 nt
Filed under: uncultured bacterium
Lineage: Bacteria
Description: partial 16S ribosomal RNA
Rfam family: Bacterial small subunit ribosomal RNA
Source: RNAcentral
UACGUAGGGUGCGAGCGUUGUCCGGAAUUAUUGGGCGUAAAGAGCUCGUAGGCGGUCUGUCGCGUCGAUCGUGAAAACUUGGGGCUUAACCCUGAGCUUGCGGUCGAUACGGGCAUGACUGGAGUUCGGCAGGGGAGACUGGAAUUCCUGGUGUAGCGGUGAAAUGCGCAGAUAUCAGGAGGAACACCAAUGGCGAAGGCAGCUCGCUGGGACGGUACUGACGCUGAGGCGCGAAAGCGUGGGGAGCAAACAGG